AUUGAACGCUGGCGGCAUGCCUUACACAUGCAAGUCGAACGGUAACGGGCCUUCGGGUGCCGACGAGUGGCGAACGGGUGAGUAAUACAUCGGAACGUGCCCGAUCGUGGGGGAUAACGAGGCGAAAGCUUUGCUAAUACCGCAUACGAUCUACGGAUGAAAGCAGGGGACCGCAAGGCCUUGCGCGGACGGAGCGGCCGAUGGCAGAUUAGGUAGUUGGUGGGAUAAAAGCUUACCAAGCCGACGAUCUGUAGCUGGUCUGAGAGGAUGAUCGGCCACACUGGGACUGAGACACGGCCCAGACUCCUACGGGAGGCAGCAGUGGGGAAUUUUGGACAAUGGGCGCAAGCCUGAUCCAGCCAUGCCGCGUGCAGGAUGAAGGCCUUCGGGUUGUAAACUGCUUUUGUACGGAACGAAAAGCCUUCUUUUAAUACAGGAGGGUCAUGACGGUACCGUAAGAAUAAGCACCGGCUAACUACGU
Molecule: ribosomal RNA, 481 nt
Filed under: uncultured bacterium
Lineage: Bacteria
Description: partial 16S ribosomal RNA
Rfam family: Bacterial small subunit ribosomal RNA
Source: RNAcentral